UACGUAGGUGGCAAGCGUUAUCCGGAAUUAUUGGGCGUAAAGCGCGCGCAGGCGGUUUCUUAAGUCUGAUGUGAAAGCCCACGGCUCAACCGUGGAGGGUCAUUGGAAACUGGGGAACUUGAGUGCAGAAGAGAAGAGUGGAAUUCCACGUGUAGCGGUGAAAUGCGUAGAGAUGUGGAGGAACACCAGUGGCGAAGGCGACUCUUUGGUCUGUAACUGACGCUGAGGCGCGAAAGCGUGGGGAGCAAACAGG
RNAcentral lists this ribosomal RNA (253 nucleotides) under uncultured bacterium. RNAcentral's name for it is "partial 16S ribosomal RNA". It matches the Rfam family "Bacterial small subunit ribosomal RNA", at positions 524 to 776 of the family's 1533-position model. The record is from RNAcentral.